UCAAAAUCCAGAUUUUAACACAGUGGAGUCUUCCUAGCUUGUCAUUUUUGGAGAAACCAAAUGAAUAUAAAAGAGAUCUAUGGAUUUCUCAGUUGGAAGGCAAGGUCAGUCCCUGAGAGUACAUCCCCGGCCAGCUGAAAGAUGAACUGUCAUGAAGUGAAUCCAACCUCAAUACCCAAUAAAAUCCUUAAAAUAAAGCCUUAACAUUAACGUGUCUACAGCAGUGAAGAGAAACAUGACAGGAAGCUUUGGGAGAGACUCCGUGGUUUGCCAUCAUAAGUCUAUUGGGUGGUCACUCUGCCUCCUCACUUUUAGCUAAGAACCUUACAAAAGCAGAAUUAACUACUUUGUCCUUAGCUUGGACUUCUUACGAUUUCUUUCUACAGUUUCCAAAAAAAUAACAAAAUACAAACUAGUUUCACUUAUUGCUAUUGACUCUUCUACUGACUUCCUGCCAAAGACUGGUUGAAAAAGGAAUAUUUGGGACCUUCUGAGGAAAUUACUACAUUUCAGAUUUGGUAUUCCUCUCUGAAACUAUAUUGCCUAUAUGUCAUUUCUUCUUCAAAAGAUCAAAAAAUUGAUUAACAAUUAGUCCUCUUUUAUUUUCUAG
This 610-nucleotide long non-coding RNA is filed under the name Marmota monax (woodchuck). Lineage: Eukaryota; Metazoa; Chordata; Mammalia; Rodentia; Sciuridae. The record is from RNAcentral.